GGGCCCAUAGCUCAGCUGGUUAGAGCAGCGGACUCAUAAUCCGUUGGUCCUAGGUUCAAGUCCUAGUGGGCCCACCA
RNAcentral lists this transfer RNA (77 nucleotides) under Legionellales bacterium RIFCSPHIGHO2_12_FULL_42_9. RNAcentral describes it as "tRNA-Met". It matches the Rfam family "tRNA". Rfam says of the family: Transfer RNA (tRNA) molecules are approximately 80 nucleotides in length. The record is from RNAcentral. Lineage: Bacteria; Pseudomonadati; Pseudomonadota; Gammaproteobacteria; Legionellales. RNAcentral also lists the same sequence under 3 other names.